GACGAACGCUGGCGGCGUGCCUAAUACAUGCAAGUCGAGCGGACUGAUUAAGAGCUUGCUCUUAUGACGUUAGCGGCGGACGGGUGAGUAACACGUGGGCAACCUGCCCUGUAGAUCGGGAUAACACCGAGAAAUCGGUGCUAAUACCGGGUAAUAUCUGAGAUCACAUGAUCUUAGGUUAAAAGAUGGCUCCGGCUAUCACUACAGGAUGGGCCCGCGGCGCAUUAGCUAGUUGGUAAGGUAAUGGCUUACCAAGGCGACGAUGCGUAGCCGACCUGAGAGGGUGAUCGGCCACACUGGGACUGAGACACGGCCCAGACUCCUACGGGAGGCAGCAGUAGGGAACCUUCCGCAAUGGACGAAAGUCUGACGGAGCAACGCCGCGUGAGUGAUGAAGGGUUUCGGCUCGUAAAGCUCUGUUGUUAGGGAAGAAACAGUACCGAACGAACUAGGUCGGUACCUUGACGGUACCUAACCAGAAAGCCACGGCUAACUACGUG
This 500-nucleotide ribosomal RNA is filed under the name uncultured bacterium. RNAcentral's name for it is "partial 16S ribosomal RNA". It matches the Rfam family "Bacterial small subunit ribosomal RNA", at positions 28 to 507 of the family's 1533-position model. The record is from RNAcentral.